UGGGGAAUCUUGCACAAUGGGGGAAACCCUGAUGCAGCGACGCCGCGUGAGCGAUGAAGCCCUUCGGGGUGUAAAGCUCUUUCGGCAGGAACGAUUAUGACGGUACCUGCAGAAGAAGCUGCGGCUAACUACGUGCCAGCAGCCGCGGUAAUACGUAGGCAGCAAGCGUUGUUCGGAGUUACUGGGCGUAAAGAGUGUGUAGGCGGUUUGCCAAGUUUGGUGUGAAAUCUCCCGGCUUAACUGGGAGGGUGCGCCGAAAACUGGCAGGCUGGAGUGCGGGAGAGGAGAGCGGAAUUCCUGGUGUAGCGGUGAAAUGCGUAGAGAUCAGGAGGAACACCUGCGGUGUAGACGGCUCUCUGGACCGCAACUGACGCUGAGACACGAAAGCGUGGGUAGCAAACA
RNAcentral lists this ribosomal RNA (402 nucleotides) under uncultured prokaryote. Its description in RNAcentral is "bacterial SSU rRNA". It matches the Rfam family "Bacterial small subunit ribosomal RNA", at positions 355 to 774 of the family's 1533-position model. The record is from RNAcentral.